AUUUAUGACCACACUACCCUGAAUAAGCCUGAUCUUUUCUGAUUCCAAGCAGGGUCAGCCUAGUAAGUGUCUCAGUGAGAGAAUAGUCAGUUCAGCUUAGAUU
RNAcentral lists this ribosomal RNA (103 nucleotides) under Mus pahari (shrew mouse). RNAcentral's name for it is "rRNA (MGP_PahariEiJ_G0032609.1)". Lineage: Eukaryota; Metazoa; Chordata; Mammalia; Rodentia; Muridae. The record is from RNAcentral.